Long non-coding RNA from Etheostoma spectabile (orangethroat darter), 198 nucleotides. RefSeq lists it as uncharacterized. The record is from RefSeq and is a predicted model, not a curated record. The transcript is spliced from 3 exons. NCBI's taxonomy places the organism in Eukaryota, Metazoa, Chordata, Actinopteri, Perciformes, Percidae.
GGGGGCGCAACUAUGUCAUGGCAUGUGUGUUGCAGUGUCGAGUGUGAAGUUGUUUGGAUGAGCCGUUCUAGAGAAAGCUGAAAGCAGGAAUACCACAGGCCAGGCAGUCGGCCUGAUCCAAACAGGCACGUUUUGAACUGGCACCGCACUCGUGUCUUAACUUGCAACUCAACAAGCAAGAUUGUUGUAUUAUUUCUC